Molecule: long non-coding RNA, 2041 nt
Filed under: Medicago truncatula (barrel medic)
Lineage: Eukaryota; Viridiplantae; Streptophyta; Magnoliopsida; Fabales; Fabaceae
Description: lncRNA gene36097
Source: RNAcentral
CUUAGAAAAGGUACUUGCUUGCUACACUCUCAUACUCCUAAAAAUUUACUAAAUGUAAAUAACGAGUUGACUCAUCUCACAAGGAAGCAAUUUUCAUACAUCACAAAGUAAAGGCGAACGAGUUAACUCAAUCUUCCAUUUCAAUCUUCUCUGCUUCAUCACUCAUACUUCAUAAUUUUCCAUAACCCAUCAAAAUUUAACAAUGACCCAUUUAUUGAAUUAACAUGAACAUCAUCAUUCUUCAUUCCAAGAAGUUUUUUCUGUACGAACGAUGUUUGCAGAAGGUGCAAAGAUAGUGCAUAGAAACUGUUUGAUGAAAUUCCUCAACCAUGUUUAGCACACAAAACCCAUUUCUCUACUUUUGUAUCACCAUUGAUUCCUUCAUUAUCAUUCCAACAUAACCCUUUAACCAUGUUGUUGCUCAUAGAAAGCUGAAAGCUUUUUCUAUGGUUAACCAAAAUGUACCUUCUAACAUCCUCUGGUAACAUCAGUGUGUAUCUCUCUACACACUUCACUUGUUCAACCAAUGAAUGACCAGUUGAAUUUGAUCUCAAAAGUUUCAAUUUUGAUGGAUGGCCAUCAUCAUGAUUGAUACUUUCUCCUUUGUUCGCGUCAGAGUCAAUUUGGUUUGGGUUUUGGUUUUGGUCAUUGGUAGUAUUAUUGAGAGUUAUUUCGGGUACGGUUUCGGAAUUUUCUUCACAUGUUUGUUCAUUGUUGAAAUUGGUUGGGAUGGUCAUUGCAACUUGACAAGAAUCUUGGUUAAGAUUUGCGCGACAAACGGGACAAGUGACAUGAGAAGCUAACCAUGAAUCAAUGCAUUGAGGAUGGAAAACAUGGUUGCAUUUAGGUAGUAAUCUUAAAGUGUCUUGUUCUUUGAAAUCUGUUAAACAAACUGCACAUUCCAAUGGUCCUUUAUCUGUUUUAACGUCUUUGAUUGUUGAGUAAAAAAGGAUAGGGAAAGUGUUGAGUAGUUCUUUGUUUAUACCUUGUGAACAUGAACAUGGACAAUCCGUUGUGUUGCUUCUCGUGACAACGAUGCGCGAUUCAACGCAGUUUCGGAUGUAGAAAAACACGAUUCCUAGGAUAAAAAGUAAACAAAGUACUGCACCAGCUGUGAUUGCAAAGGAAGGAUUCCAUCUAUGAUGAGAGAUAUCAGUAGGAACAGGUUCCAUGGAAGCUUGUGAUUCAACAUGGUUUAGGAGUAGAAGAAAGAGGAAGGGAGUUAUAGUUGUGAGGGAAGUAAAGUAAGAGUUUUUGAGGUGAAAAUUAAGCAUGUUUGUUUGUGAAAGUUGAAAAGGUUUGAGAGUGAUGUGAAUGAGGAGUGUAGUGGAGUUGUUUUUUUAGAGAGAGGAAUAUGAAGAGAAAAAAGAAGAGGAUUGAUUGUUAUAAAGGGAGAGAGGAGAGGAAAGGAAGUAAGAUGGGAAGUUCCAUUUGUUGCUUGAAGAACAAGGAUUUGGUUUAGUGGAGAAAAGGUUGAAGGAUGAACGGUGAAGAGUGAAGUGUGAAGUGAACACUCCUUUUUAUGCUCCUUUUUGAUGAAUUCUUAGGGACUAUAAAUAUAGUAGAAGUUUUGGAAGAUAUGUUAAUUAAUUAAAAUAUUAAAAUAACAAAUCAUAACUCAUAAGUGACAUUAGUUAGAAGGGAGUAUUUUUUUUUCUUUCUUUUUUUCUUAUAGCAAUGCUUGUUUGGUCAACAAAAGGGACAAGUCAUGAAUGAGCACAUCCUUAAAUCAAAAAUGUUUUUGGGCACACAUAAAUGAAAAAGAAUUAAAAGAGAAAUAAAUAAGAUGAAAACAAGGGGCAUUACAACAGGAUGGGGUGUGACGGAUUUUACUUUUCCCGUUCCCAUAUUCUACUCUCAUAUAUUUAUUAAUUUUUUGACAGAAUCUACUCUCAUAUAUUUAUGUGUUACCUUAAUCAUACCAAACAUGUAUUUUCUACGUUCAGAACGGGUUUGACUAAAGGUUUAGGUGAGUCGGUAAAAGCAAGAAAAAACUAGGGGUGAUAAUAUGAUCCAUGAGAUCCAUAUCCAUCCAAUCCAU